AGAUGAGUGGCGAACGGGUGAGUAAUACAUAGGUAACCUGCCCCUGUGCGGGGGAUAACAGGAGGAAACUCCUGCUAAUACCGCAUAGCCAUGAGCACCGCAUGGAGCUCAUGCCAAAUAUCCUUUCGGGGAUAGCGCAGGGAUGGACCUAUGGCGCAUUAGCUGGUUGGCGGGGCAACGGCCCACCAAGGCAACGAUGCGUAGCCGGCCUGAGAGGGCGGACGGCCACAUUGGGACUGAGACACGGCCCAGACUCCUACGGGAGGCAGCAGUAGGGAAUUUUCGGCAAUGGGGGAAACCCUGACCGAGCAACGCCGCGUGAGCGAAGAAGGCCUUCGGGUCGUAAAGCUCUGUUGUAAAGGAAGAACGGCGCAUACAGGAAAUGGUAUGCGAGUGACGGUACUUUACCAGAAAGCCACGGCUAACUACGUGCCAGCAGCCGCGGUAAUACGUAGGUGGCGAGCGUUAUCCGGAAUCAUUGGGCGUAAAGAGGGAGCAGGCGGCCGCAAGGGUCUGUGGUGAAAGACCGAAGCUAAACUUCGGUAAGCCAUGGAAACCGGGCGGCUAGAGUGCGGAAGAGGAUCGUGGAAUUCCAUGUGUAGCGGUGAAAUGCGUAGAUAUAUGGAGGAACACCAGUGGCGAAGGCGACGGUCUGGGCCGCAACUGACGCUCAUUCCCGAAAGCGUGGGGAGCAAAUAGGAUUAGAUACCCUAGUAGUCCACGCCGUAAACGAUGGUCACUAAGUGUCGGGGGUCAAACCCCGGUGCUGCAGUCAACGCAAUAAGUGACCCGCCUGAGUAGUACGUUCGCAAGAAUGAAACUC
RNAcentral lists this ribosomal RNA (823 nucleotides) under uncultured bacterium. RNAcentral describes it as "bacterial SSU rRNA". It matches the Rfam family "Bacterial small subunit ribosomal RNA", at positions 89 to 902 of the family's 1533-position model. The record is from RNAcentral.